This 70-nucleotide transfer RNA is filed under the name Rhodococcus sp. 05-2255-3B1. Its description in RNAcentral is "tRNA-Arg". It matches the Rfam family "tRNA", at positions 18 to 71 of the family's 71-position model. Rfam says of the family: Transfer RNA (tRNA) molecules are approximately 80 nucleotides in length. Their secondary structure includes four short double-helical elements and three loops (D, anti-codon, and T loops). RNAcentral also lists the same sequence under 2 other names. Lineage: Bacteria; Bacillati; Actinomycetota; Actinomycetes; Mycobacteriales; Nocardiaceae. The record is from RNAcentral.
GCCUCUCGGAAAACGCCAGAGCAACCCUCUCCUAAAGGGUAGGUCGCAGGUUCGAAUCCUGCCGGGGGCA